This 72-nucleotide transfer RNA is filed under the name Camelus bactrianus (Bactrian camel). It matches the Rfam family "tRNA". Rfam says of the family: Transfer RNA (tRNA) molecules are approximately 80 nucleotides in length. Their secondary structure includes four short double-helical elements and three loops (D, anti-codon, and T loops). The record is from Rfam by way of RNAcentral. Lineage: Eukaryota; Metazoa; Chordata; Mammalia; Artiodactyla; Camelidae. RNAcentral also lists the same sequence under 1 other name.
GGGGGGAUAGCUCAGUAGGAGAGCACAUGCUUAGAGUGCACGAGGUUCUGGUUUCAAUCCCCAGUGCCUCUA